RNAcentral lists this ribosomal RNA (911 nucleotides) under Penicillium sp. Its description in RNAcentral is "partial large subunit ribosomal RNA". It matches the Rfam family "Eukaryotic large subunit ribosomal RNA", at positions 34 to 964 of the family's 3401-position model. The record is from RNAcentral. Lineage: Eukaryota; Fungi; Ascomycota; Eurotiomycetes; Eurotiales; Aspergillaceae.
CUAGCAUAUCAAUAAGCGGAGGAAAAGAAACCAACAGGGAUUGCCCCAGUAACGGCGAGUGAAGCGGCAACAGCUCAAAUUUGAAAUCUGGCCCCCUCGGGGCCCGAGUUGUAAUUUGCAGAGGGUGCUUUGGCGUCGGCGGCGGUCUAAGUUCCUUGGAACAGGACAUCGCAGAGGGUGAGAAUCCCGUAUGUGGUCGCAUGCCUUCGCCGUGUAAAGCCCCUUCGACGAGUCGAGUUGUUUGGGAAUGCAGCUCUAAAUGGGAGGUAAAUUUCUUCUAAAGCUAAAUACCGGCCAGAGACCGAUAGCGCACAAGUAGAGUGAUCGAAAGAUGAAAAGCACUUUGGAAAGAGAGUCAAACAGCACGUGAAAUUGUUGAAAGGGAAGCGCUUGCAGCCAGACUUGCCUGUAGUUGCUCACCCGGGCUCCUGCCCGGGGCACUCUUCUGCAGGCAGGCCAGCAUCAGUUUGGGCGGUCGGAUAAAGGCCUCUGACACGUACUUCCUCUCGGGGAUGACAUAUAGGGGAGGCGCAAUGCGACCAGCCCGGACUGAGGUCCGCGCAUCUGCUAGGAUGCUGGCGUAAUGGCUGUAAGCGGCCCGUCUUGAAACACGGACCAAGGAGUCUAACAUCUAUGCGAGUGUUUGGGUGUCAAGCCCGGGCGCGCAAUGAAAGUGAACGGAGGUGGGAACCCCUCGGGGCGCACCAUCGACCGAUCCUGAUGUCUUCGGAUGGAUUUGAGUAAGAGCAUAGCUGUUGGGACCCGAAAGAUGGUGAACUAUGCUUGAAUAGGGUGAAGCCAGAGGAAACUCUGGUGGAGGCUCGCAGCGGUUCUGACGUGCAAAUCGAUCGUCAAAUUUGGGCAUAGGGGCGAAAGACUAAUCGAACUAUCUAGUAGCUGGUUCCUGCCGA